RNAcentral lists this ribosomal RNA (440 nucleotides) under uncultured bacterium. Its description in RNAcentral is "partial 16S ribosomal RNA". It matches the Rfam family "Bacterial small subunit ribosomal RNA", at positions 338 to 795 of the family's 1533-position model. The record is from RNAcentral.
CCUACGGGAGGCAGCAGUAGGGAAUAUUGCUCAAUGGGGGAAACCCUGAAGCAGCAACGCCGCGUGGAGGAUGAAGGUUUUCGGAUCGUAAACUCCUUUUGUUAGAGAAGAUAAUGACGGUAUCUAACGAAUAAGCACCGGCUAACUCCGUGCCAGCAGCCGCGGUAAUACGGAGGGUGCAAGCGUUACUCGGAAUCACUGGGCGUAAAGAGCGCGUAGGCGGGAUAGCAAGUCAGAUGUGAAAUCCUAUGGCUUAACCAUAGAACUGCAUUUGAAACUGUUAUUCUAGAGUAUGGGAGAGGUAGGUGGAAUUCUUGGUGUAGGGGUAAAAUCCGUAGAGAUAAAGAGGAAUACUCAUUGCGAAGGCGACCUGCUAGAACAUAACUGACGCUGAUGCGCGAAAGCGUGGGGAGCAAACAGGAUUAGAUACCCCAGUAGUC